CCAAGCGGCGCACGUCACCGGAGGUUGGCGCUGGUCAUCCGAGCCGCGGCCCGCGCACGCCCCUGUCCAGCGCACUGCUCACGCGGCCCGACCCAAGACGCAGGAAAAUGCACUUCUCACUGGCUGGCGUAGUGACAUGUGCGCUGACCUGUCUUCUAACGUCGUCGUUGGUGGAGGCGGCGCCCAUCGACGGAUGCAGGCCUGAGUUCUUCGAACAGCUUCCUCUGCGCACGCAGAAAAUGUGCACCAAAAUAUUGGCGCUCAAAGAAGUCCAGCGAGCCAUGGAAGAUUAUCUAGAGGACGAAUUGCAGGGACAGAUCGGGUUCAGUGACAACGGUGCGAAGCGGCAAGACAUGGACCACGUGUUCCUGCGGUUCGGCCGGGCGGCCGUGUAGUGGCCGCCGCAACGCCAUCCGUCGCCCCCAGAGGCGACUUCAGCGCGUCGCCCCGGCCGGCGGCGACACCGAGAGGCGCGUCGCAAUCGGAUCAGGCGCACCGUAAUGCGCGUCGCCGUGCGUCGCGCGCCCGCGCCAGGGC
Molecule: long non-coding RNA, 537 nt
Organism: Pollicipes pollicipes
Lineage: Eukaryota; Metazoa; Arthropoda; Thecostraca; Pollicipedomorpha; Pollicipedidae
Exons: 3
Source: RefSeq, a predicted model, not a curated record